Molecule: ribosomal RNA, 497 nt
Filed under: uncultured bacterium
Lineage: Bacteria
Description: partial 16S ribosomal RNA
Rfam family: Bacterial small subunit ribosomal RNA
Source: RNAcentral
GAUGAACGCUGGCGGCGUGCCUAAUACAUGCAAGUCGAGCGAACGGACGAGAAGCUUGCUUUUCUGAUGUUAGCGGCGGACGGGUGAGUAACACGUGGAUAACCUACCUAUAAGACUGGGAUAACUUCGGGAAACCGGAGCUAAUACCGGAUAAUAUUUUGAACCGCAUGGUUCAAAAGUGAAAGACGGUCUUGCUGUCACUUAUAGAUGGAUCCGCGCUGCAUUAGCUAGUUGGUAAGGUAACGGCUUACCAAGGCAACGAUGCAUAGCCGACCUGAGAGAAUGAUCUGCCACACUGGAACUGAGACACGGUCCAGACUCCUACGGGAGGCAGCAGUAGGGAAUCUUCCGCAAUGGGCGAAAGCCUGACGGAGCAACGCCGCGUGAGUGAUGAAGGUCUUCGGAUCGUAAAACUCUGUUAUUAGGGAAGAACAUAUGUGUAAGUAACUGUGCACAUCUUGACGGUACCUAAUCAGAAAGCCACGGCUAACUACGUG